AGAGGGGCCAAGCGCAGGGCCUGGCAGGGGUGGGCAGCAGAGCCAGGGGCCCAGGGCCUCCAGCACCCCCAUGCCCUCUGGGAUGGAAAUGGCUUUUCAAGUGAUACAGUCCCCGGCCCCUCAACGCCGGGCAGUCAGGCCUGGCACCCAAAAUGCUCAUGCCUGCCGUGCCCCCACCUCAGCUUUCAGGGACCCCCAGGGAGGGGGCUUCCUGUGCAGAAAUCACAAGGGGAAGGCUGCCCUCGGAGACCCCAGCGGGUUCAGUUAUCUGGGGUCAGAAACAUUAAAUGGAAAAUUGGAGAAAUAAAGAAUUCAUACGUUUUAAGUCGCAUGCUGUUCUGAGUACCUCACUUCAUCUCAUCACUUGGGUAUCGCCUCAUCUCACAUCAUCACAGGAAGAAGGGAGACACUAAAAUAACAAGAGGCUUGCGCCUACCCAUAAAAGCCCCCCUGCAUGCGACAGCCACAAUGCAGACUGAUAAAGAGAACGUCAAGUUGGCAACUCAGACACCACAAGUAGCGCUGACGUUACGUGCGUAAUUUUUCGGUAAGCUUCUGAACAAGAGGAAGGGCAGUCUUCCUCCGAUUUACAGGGACGUUAUAUUUCUAGCAACUUCAGCGUACAUUAAAAUUCAGAG
This is a long non-coding RNA of Eptesicus fuscus (big brown bat), 638 nucleotides long. RefSeq lists it as uncharacterized. The record is from RefSeq and is a predicted model, not a curated record. The transcript is spliced from 3 exons. Lineage: Eukaryota; Metazoa; Chordata; Mammalia; Chiroptera; Vespertilionidae.